UACAGAGGUCUCAAGCGUUGUUCGGAUUCAUUGGGCGUAAAGAGCGUGUAGGCGGUUCGGUAAGUCCGCUGUGAAAGUCCAGGGCUCAACCCUGGAAUGCCGGUGGAUACUGUCGGGCUAGAGUCCGGAAGAGGCGAGUGGAAUUCCUGGUGUAGCGGUGGAAUGCGCAGAUAUCAGGAGGAACACCAAUAGCGAAGGCAGCUCGCUGGGACGUUACUGACACUAAGGCGCGAAAGCGUGGGGAGCGAACAGG
RNAcentral lists this ribosomal RNA (253 nucleotides) under uncultured bacterium. RNAcentral describes it as "partial 16S ribosomal RNA". It matches the Rfam family "Bacterial small subunit ribosomal RNA", at positions 524 to 776 of the family's 1533-position model. The record is from RNAcentral.